RNAcentral lists this long non-coding RNA (1209 nucleotides) under Papio anubis (olive baboon). Its description in RNAcentral is "lncRNA (ENSPANG00000050420.1)". Lineage: Eukaryota; Metazoa; Chordata; Mammalia; Primates; Cercopithecidae. The record is from RNAcentral.
GCACAACAUCUAUUCUGCAGCCCAUGGAUCGAGGAGUCAUUUCAACUUUCAAGUCUUAUUAUUUGUGAAACAUAUUUCAUAAAGCCACAGCUGCCAUAGACAGUGAUUACUCUGAUGCAUCUGGGAAAAGUAAAUUGGAAACCCGCUGGAAAAAAAAUGUAACAUUUGGGAUGCUAUUCAGGACAUUCAAAAUUCAUGGGAGGAGGUCAAAAUGUCAACAUUCACAGGAGUCCGGAAGAAGCUGGUUCCAACUCUCAUAGAUAAUAUUGAGGGGUUGAAGACUUCAGUGGAGAAAGUAACUGCAGACGUUGUAGAAAUAGCAAGAGAACUAAAAUUAGAAGUGGAGCAUGAGGAUGUGACUGGGUUGCUGGAAUCUCAUGAUCAAACGUUAACAGAUGAGGAAUCGCAACUUAUGGAUCAGCUAAGAAAGUGCUUUCUUGGGACAGAACCUUCUCCUGGUGAAGACGCGGUGACAUUGUUGAAAUGACAACAAAGGAUUUAAAGUAUUACAUAAAUUUAGUUGAUCAAGCGGUGGCAGGGCUUAAGAGAAUUAACUCCAAUUUUGAAAGAAGUUCUAAUAUGACAAAAAUGCUAUCAAACGGCAUCAUAUGCAACAAAGAAAUCUUUUCUGAAAGGAAGAGUCAGUUGAUGCAUCAAACGUCACUGUUGUCUUACAUUAAGAAAUUGCCACAGCAACCUUAACCUUCUGCAUUCGACACCUUGAUCGGUCAGAAGCCAUCCACAUCGAGGCAAGAUCCCCACCAGAAAAAGAUUAUGACUUUGCCGAAGGCUCUGAUUGUUGGUUGCAUUUUUAGCAAUGAAGUAUUUUUAAUUAAGUGGUCUGAAACUGAACUCACAAUAUUUCUGAGGCAUGCCUGUACUGCCCUCUCCCAAGAACGCCUACGUGACCAGCCCUCAAACUGGAUCUUCUGCCUCCAAAUUAUGUUAGCAGUUCAUGCAGCAGGCAAAACAGACUUCAAUUCUAAUAGUUACCUUCUUGCAAUCUCUAGUAGCUGCAGCAAUCUCUCACUGCAGAUGUCUAUUGUGAUUCUGGGCCCCUGGCCCUUGGUCUACAUCUCACAUACAUUCAGCCUCCUUGUACUUCCAGCCUCUUCUCCUUGUGGCUUGCUUGCUCUGUCACUUUGCUUAUGUGCACUGUGGCCAAAGCUAAGGCACCAGGGAGCAUCAAGAAAAGGCAAACAUCCGUGA